Molecule: long non-coding RNA, 1355 nt
Filed under: Eptatretus burgeri (inshore hagfish)
Lineage: Eukaryota; Metazoa; Chordata; Myxini; Myxiniformes; Myxinidae
Description: lncRNA (ENSEBUG00000017274.1)
Source: RNAcentral
CAUUCGCUGAGGAAGUGGCUGUGUUGCUGAUCCAAUGCUCUCUGCUGCUUCGGGCAGGAAUUUGGAAUUGGAAUAGCCCACCUACUCUUUGUGAAGGACACCAUGGCGUCAUGCUGGCAGACAAGAUUCCAGUUUAACGUCCAUCUGAGGGAAGGGACACAUUGAUGAAUCGCCCUACCUGUGAAACACCGGGAUAACUGUUUACAGCUGGAUCGAGAACCUAACCCAGCCAAGAGAGCUUGGAAGCAAAUGUGCAUACCUCUUGGCCAUCCUGUCCACUUAUUGCAGAGCAUUCCACAAACUUCUGUUCUCUUGUGGCAAGUUUUGCUCUGUGGUCGGCCCAGGAAAGGUCAUGGCUGAUGGUGAGGCUGAGAAGUUCAAGAGACUGAACCUCUCCCAGUGGACAACCAACGAAAUAGAGAGUGUUGUUCAGGGGAUGUUCAACGAGUCAACACCACUUCCUUGGCCUCCUACAGCUGAUGAGCUGGAUGCCAGGGCAUCAGAAGAAUACCUCCCAACAGACCUGGUGAAGUUCCUGUCGACUCUUAUCCUGGGUGAAGCAGAUGUGGAAAAGUCUGAAAAGAGCCGACGUCUGGUGCUUUCAGUAGCUCAGGACAUCUGCCAUGCUGUGACGAACGGAGAGUGGAAGUUACCUAAACACAUCCUCCUUUGCAGCACCAUACGCCACCUUUAUCUAAGCAAGCAGCUAACUAAUAUACUUCAUAUAUUGGGUCACUGUGAGUCCUAUGACUUUGGCUUGGAAGUUGAGACAGCACUGGCGGAAGCCGUUGGCGAUGUUUCCUCUUCUCUCACUCCCCAAAUUGCUACUGGUGAAGACAACGAAGUUUUUCAUGUUGAGUGGGACAACUUAAACAAAAUAACCACAAAUGUCCAUGGUUCAAAUGUGGUGAACAGCACUGGAGGGAUCAUGAUAGAGGAGGUGAAACCAAACACUGACAUUGCCAACAAAGAUAGAACCCUCCCACUCAAGCAGCGGAAUAAGACUCGUUGUUUUGAAGUUGGAACCCCACCAACAUUGCCCCCUUUUCAUAUUUAUGGUCGAGUUGGGCCCAAGUUUCCAACAGGGGCUAAGUUCAGUCCACCCAUCGAAAACGAUAAGUUGUAAUCAGAGUGCAUCCAAGAGUACCGUUUGUGGUUACUUAUGCGAAUGGUCACUGGCAGUAAAGAAACACAACUAGUCCCUGGAUUUGGUGGCUUAAUCUCAGCUACUGGCAAAAAACCGUCUCGAAAGUAUUCUGGUCUCCAAAGCCAUAUGAUCCUGAACAAGGUUGGGAAAGAAAUGAUGAGGGUGUUUUGGAGCCAGUGUGGUCUUGCGGCCCCCCCCCCCCCCCCCC